GUGCUCACUUCUGCAGCACUGUAUAUACUAACAACUGGAAUGAUGAUAGAGAAAAGAUCAACAUGACCCCUGCUCAAGGAUGACAUGCCAAUUUGUGAAGCACUCCAUAUUUUU
This is a small nuclear RNA of Aotus nancymaae (Ma's night monkey), 114 nucleotides long. The record is from Ensembl. Lineage: Eukaryota; Metazoa; Chordata; Mammalia; Primates; Aotidae.